Long non-coding RNA from Apis dorsata (giant honeybee), 724 nucleotides. RefSeq lists it as uncharacterized. Lineage: Eukaryota; Metazoa; Arthropoda; Insecta; Hymenoptera; Apidae. The record is from RefSeq and is a predicted model, not a curated record. The transcript is spliced from 2 exons.
UUCAUGAAGUAAAAAGCUAUAAUAUUAUUUUUAUCGCUGAUUGGUUAAAAAAAAACAAAUAAUAUAAAUUAACCAAUCACUAUUUGAAAGACAUACCACAGCGAGAUAUCAUCUGUGGUUAUACUAUGACUAUAUAACGAAACACACGUGCUUCACUUGAAUCAACCAUACAACCUGCAUCAUGUAUAAUCCUCGGUCGAGAUAUCGUAGCAGACGACGCUCGAAUCGACUUGACAGCACAGUCUGUAUUUUCACGUGUCCUCUUGUACAUCGCAUUGCGUAACUGGAGUCCGACUUCCAGGGAGGAGCUCCCUUUUUCGGUUUGACGUAAUUCGCGAAAUAUUUUAACUUAUCGGCCAAUUGGAUACUACCGAACGAGGUUUUCAACCAAUCAUAACGAUGUGUACAUACUUAUCAGGAUUAAACAAUAGAACUAGAACUCAUUUAUUAUAACAUUGUGAAAUUUACAUAUUUUCGUAGAAAAUUUAAAAAUGAUAAAAUAACAAUUCUAUAAUUGUUUAAAUUUUAAAUUCGUGAUUAAUUUCAAAAAUAUAUUUUAAUUAUCAAUUAAUUCAUCAUCAAUUAAGUCUUGUAUAUCAUUAAAGUUUAUUUUAACUAAGAUAGAUUAUAGAUAUAUUAAUAAUUUUUAUAACAAAUAAAAUUUUUAUUUAAUUUAUUACAUAUUUAAAUUAAUAUUAAUAUAUAUUAAUUUUGCAUUUGACAG